ACCCUACGGGAGGCAGCAGUAGGGAAUCUUCCACAAUGGACGAAAGUCUGAUGGAGCAACGCCGCGUGAGUGAAGAAGGGUUUCGGCUCGUAAAGCUCUGUUGGUAGUGAAGAAAGAUACAGGUAGUAACUGGCCUUUAUUUGACGGUAAUUACUUAGAAAGUCACGGCUAACUACGUGCCAGCAGCCGCGGUAAUACGUAGGUGGCAAGCGUUGUCCGGAUUUAUUGGGCGUAAAGCGAGUUCAGGCGGUUUAAUAAAACUUGUGUGUAACACUUUCG
This 279-nucleotide ribosomal RNA is filed under the name uncultured bacterium. Its description in RNAcentral is "partial 16S ribosomal RNA". It matches the Rfam family "Bacterial small subunit ribosomal RNA", at positions 335 to 607 of the family's 1533-position model. The record is from RNAcentral.